Molecule: non-coding RNA, 136 nt
Organism: Hordeum vulgare subsp. vulgare (domesticated barley)
Lineage: Eukaryota; Viridiplantae; Streptophyta; Magnoliopsida; Poales; Poaceae
Source: Rfam
UUUAUACUCACUAUGUCCCAAAAAAAUUUGUUUAGGUUUGUCUAAAAAUGAAUGUAUCUAAAUACUAAAAAAUGUUUAGAUACAUUCAUAUCUAGACAAAUUUAAGACAAGAUUUUUGGGACGGAGGGAGUAAAAG